Non-coding RNA from Streptococcus sp. DD13, 105 nucleotides. It matches the Rfam family "Trans-activating crRNA". From Rfam's summary of the family: RNA-guided Streptococcus pyogenes Cas9 (SpCas9) is a sequence-specific DNA endonuclease, the Trans-activating CRISPR RNA form an hybrid with the crRNA (crRNA/tracrRNA). The RNA hybrid acts as a guide for the endonuclease Cas9. Lineage: Bacteria; Bacillati; Bacillota; Bacilli; Lactobacillales; Streptococcaceae. The record is from Rfam.
CGUUGGAACCAUUCGAAACAACACAGCAAGUUAAAAUAAGGCAGUGAUUUUUGAUCCAGUCCGUACACAACUUGUAAAAGGGAACACCGAUUCGGUGUUUUUUUU